AAACUUCCAAGUUUCAAGGGAAUUUGCUUGGGGAAGGAGGCUUUCACAUUGCCAAAGUUGGAAACUUUACAAAUAAAAGAAUGCCGAGCAAUUACAGUUUUCACCAAGGGACACGUGUCUACCCCUGAGCUCAAAGUAAUAGAUACAAGUUUUGGGUUUUGUUAUGUAAAGACAGAUAUCAACUCCCUUUUAAAGACCAAACAAGAGGAGGGGUGGGAAUUCUAGAACAUGAAGAUCAUAUGUUUUAUCUGCAAGGUUUUAUAAAGUUGGAAUCUGUUGAAAAGUAUAAAGAUAUGGAACUGUUGCACUUUGACUUUUGACGGUCAAACAAGGUAAUUUUCAAGCAAAAAAUCAUCCCAUUUUUUUAAAACCUUUAGGACCAACAACUUACUGAGUCAUAUCUAUCUUAUGAGUUAUGACUAUCUGGAUCAGCCUCAGAUUUGCAAUAUCCAUAAUGAUGACCAAUGAACAUGAGGAUUACAAAUGCAGUAGCACACAUGUUUGACUAAAAAAGUAAAAGGGUCCCAAGGUGCAGUUCAAGAUACACUUAUGAAGGUUCACCAACAUCAAGCCCUGAAGUCAAGCAUUUAGAUGUAUUUAUGACAAAUCAAGAAAUAUUACCGAGUGUUGCUGCUUCUAGGUUUUCACGCACAUUGACACUCCUUGCAGAUACAAAUUGACCCAUUUAUGAAUAAUUUCAAAGAUAAUGUUUGAUCUAGGAAAGAAAAUGGUAAAUGAACUGAUAAGUGUAGUCAUAUAUAACAUACCAUUUCGUUUGGUCAUGACAUACAAUGAUGAUGUUUCUACGGAAACAUGGAAGGCUUUCAAAUCAAUUAGUGAAAUUUUAUGGGUUCCCCUUU
Helianthus annuus (common sunflower) is the source of this 860-nucleotide long non-coding RNA. RefSeq lists it as uncharacterized. The transcript is spliced from 3 exons. Lineage: Eukaryota; Viridiplantae; Streptophyta; Magnoliopsida; Asterales; Asteraceae. The record is from RefSeq and is a predicted model, not a curated record.